CCUGAUGCAGCGACGCCGCGUGGGUGAUGACGGCCUUCGGGUUGUAAACCCCUUUCAGCACAGACGAAGCGCACGUGACGGUAUGUGCAGAACAAGGACCGGCCAACUACGUGCCAGCAGCCGCGGUAAUACGUAGGGUCCGAGCGUUGUCCGGAAUUACUGGGCGUAAAGAGCUCGUAGGUGGUUUGUCGCGUUGUUCGUGAAAACUCACAGCUCAACUGUGGGCGUGCGGGCGAUACGGGCAGACUAGAGUACUGCAGGGGAGACUGGAAUUCCUGGUGUAGCGGUGGAAUGCGCAGAUAUCAAGAGGAACACCGGUGGCGAAGGCGGGUCUCUGGGCAGUAACUGACGCUGAGGAGCGAAAGCGUGGGGAGCGAACAGGAUUAGAUACCCUGGUAGUCCACGCCGUAAACGGUGGGUACUAGGUGUGGGUUUCCUUCCUUGGGAUCCGUGCCGUACCUAACGCAUUAAGUACCCCGCCUGGGGAGUACGGCCGCAAGGCUAAAACUCAUAGAAAUUGACGGGGGCCCGCACAAGCGGCGGAGCAUGUGGAUUAAUUCCAUGCAACGCGAAAAACCUUACCUGGGUUUGACAUGCACAGGACGUGCCUAGAGAUAGGUAUUCCCUUGUGGCC
This 634-nucleotide ribosomal RNA is filed under the name Mycobacterium sp. So1Pw_986. RNAcentral describes it as "bacterial SSU rRNA". It matches the Rfam family "Bacterial small subunit ribosomal RNA", at positions 382 to 1028 of the family's 1533-position model. The record is from RNAcentral. Lineage: Bacteria; Bacillati; Actinomycetota; Actinomycetes; Mycobacteriales; Mycobacteriaceae.